CCUACGGGUGACUGCAGUGAGGAAUAUUGGUCAAUGGACGCAAGUCUGAACCAGCCAUGCCGCGUGCAGGAUGACGGCUCUAUGAGUUGUAAACUGCUUUUGUACGAGGGUAAACCACGGUACGUGUAUCGGGUUGAAAGUAUCGUACGAAUAAGGAUCGGCUAACUCCGUGCCAGCAGCCGCGGUAAUACGGAGGAUCCGAGCGUUAUCCGGAUUUAUUGGGUUUAAAGGGUGCGUAGGCGGUUUGAUAAGUUAGAGGUGAAAUGUCGGGGCUCAACCCCGAAACUGCCUCUAAUACUGUUAGACUAGAGAAUAGUUGCGGUAGGCGGAAUGUAUGGUGUAGCGGUGAAAUGCUUAGAGAUCAUACAGAACACCGAUUGCGAAGGCAGCUUACCAAACUAUAUCUGACGUUGAGGCACGAAAGCGUGGGUAGCAAACAGGAUUAGAUACCCCUGUAGUC
Molecule: ribosomal RNA, 460 nt
Filed under: uncultured bacterium
Lineage: Bacteria
Description: partial 16S ribosomal RNA
Rfam family: Bacterial small subunit ribosomal RNA
Source: RNAcentral